CCUANGGGUGGCAGCAGUGGGGAAUUUUGGACAAUGGGGGCAACCCUGAUCCAGCCAUUCCGCGUGAGUGAAGAAGGCCUUCGGGUUGUAAAGCUCUUUCAGCAGGAACGAAACGGUGGUCCUUAAUACGGGCUACUAAUGACGGUACCUGAAGAAGAAGCACCGGCUAACUACGUGCCAGCAGCCGCGGUAAUACGUAGGGUGCGAGCGUUAAUCGGAAUUACUGGGCGUAAAGCGUGCGCAGGCGGUUUUGCAAGUCAGAUGUGAAAGCCCCGGGCUCAACCUGGGAAUGGCGUUUGAAACUGCAAGGCUAGAGUGUGUCAGAGGGGGGUAGAAUUCCACGUGUAGCAGUGAAAUGCGUAGAGAUGUGGAGGAAUACCGAUGGCGAAGGCAGCCCCCUGGGAUAACACUGACGCUCAUGCACGAAAGCGUGGGGAGCAAACAGGAUUAGAUACCCUANUANUC
Molecule: ribosomal RNA, 465 nt
Filed under: uncultured bacterium
Lineage: Bacteria
Description: bacterial SSU rRNA
Rfam family: Bacterial small subunit ribosomal RNA
Source: RNAcentral